GGCGAGAGACAGAUAGCGAACAAGUACCGUGAGGGAAAGAUGAAAAGAACUUUGAAAAGAGAGUUAAACAGUACGUGAAAUUGUUGAAAGGAAACGAUUGAAGCCAGUCGUACCUAUGGGUAAUCAGCCUUUUGGGUGUGAUUUUGUGGAGCGUGAGGAGUUAAACGCCUUCAUGCCUGCAUAUUCGUGCACUUUGGGUGUACUUGCCCGUGUGUAAGUUAACAUCAAUUUUGGUGGUCAUAAAAUGG
RNAcentral lists this ribosomal RNA (248 nucleotides) under Glomus sp. Al2. RNAcentral describes it as "partial large subunit ribosomal RNA". It matches the Rfam family "Eukaryotic large subunit ribosomal RNA", at positions 325 to 525 of the family's 3401-position model. Lineage: Eukaryota; Fungi; Glomeromycota; Glomeromycetes; Glomerales; Glomeraceae. The record is from RNAcentral.